Molecule: ribosomal RNA, 783 nt
Filed under: uncultured bacterium
Lineage: Bacteria
Description: bacterial SSU rRNA
Rfam family: Bacterial small subunit ribosomal RNA
Source: RNAcentral
AGAGUUUGAUCCUGGCUCAGGACGAACGCUGGCGGCGUGCUUAACACAUGCAAGUCGAACGGUAAGGCCCUUCGGGGUACACGAGUGGCGAACGGGUGAGUAACACGUGGGUAAUCUGCCCUGCACAUCGGGAUAAGCCUGGGAAACUGGGUCUAAUACCGAAUAGGACCACAGGACACAUGUCCUGUGGUGGAAAGCUUUUGCGGUGUGGGAUGGGCCCGCGGCCUAUCAGCUUGUUGGUGGGGUGAUGGCCUACCAAGGCGACGACGGGUAGCCGGCCUGAGAGGGUGUCCGGCCACACUGGGACUGAGAUACGGCCCAGACUCCUACGAGAGGCAGCAGUGGGGAAUAUUGCACAAUGGGCGAAAGCCUGAUGCAGCGACGCCGCGUGGGGGAUGACGGCCUUCGGGUUGUAAACCUCUUUCACCAUCGACGAAGGUCCGGGUUUUCUCGGGCUGACGGUAGGUGGAGAAGAAGCACCGGCCAACUACGUGCCAGCAGCCGCGGUAAUACGUAGGGUGCGAGCGUUGUCCGGAAUUACUGGGCGUAAAGAGCUCGUAGGUGGUUUGUCGCGUUGUUCGUGAAAUCUCACGGCUUAACUGUGAGCGUGCGGGCGAUACGGGCAGACUUGAGUACUGCAGGGGAGACUGGAAUUCCUGGUAUAGCGGUGGAAUGCGCAGAUAUCAGGAGGAACACCGGUGGCGAAGGCGGGUCUCUGGGCAGUAACUGACGCUGAGGAGCGAAAGCGUGGGGAGCGAACAGGAUUAGAUACCCUGGUAGUCC